This 227-nucleotide unclassified non-coding RNA is filed under the name Hevea brasiliensis (rubber tree). Lineage: Eukaryota; Viridiplantae; Streptophyta; Magnoliopsida; Malpighiales; Euphorbiaceae. The record is from RNAcentral.
UUUCUGGAUUCCAGAAGUACAAUAACCCAGUACUACCAUCAAUUAAGCCCUUCCAAGGUUGGGGUAAAUUUGGAUCAUCAGGUGCAUAACGAGGUCCUAAGGAAGCCGUAGCUGCCUCAGGAGUUGUCAUACUUGAGCUACCUCAAACAAUUAACUUCAGGGAAGCUUUGUGUACGGCGAGCUCCGGGUGCCGAGUGCCGACGGAAGAGGAUUGUACGCUUAAUUUG